UUCAAAUCUCCCGCUCUCCUAGUUCCUUUACUUCCGGGCUCAAUUGCCUCGACUUCCGCUCCCUGGUUGGAACUGUCACGUGGUUGAAUGACGUGAGCAGAGCUAUAAAGAGGCAGCGCGCUGUUCCCAGGCACCACUGAAUCAUGCUGACUUUCAUCAGGCACAUGUGUAGGAGUUAUAGCAGGUUAUGGAGAGGAGCUCCUCCAUCACUUUUUAAGCUCACAGCAGAGCCUCCAGGUGAAGCCGACCAGUUGGUGUUGCACGUUCCUGUAAUGGUGAAUGAAGUUAUUGAGUUAUUGGCACCUCAAGAAGGACAAAAGUGGGAGCAAAUAAGAUUUUCCAGCGUGGUUUUGAUGAUCCGCAGUCAGAAGGUGCCGUGCUUCUUAUUUUCACUUCAAUACCAGAAAUGCAUUGGAGAUUUUUUUUUUUUUCUUGGAUUGUUCCAAGCUAUAACUAGUUCUAAAAUAAAAAGCUAUAUCUGAAGAGUUUCUCCUGGGGCACAAAGGGUCAUACACCACCAAAUAAUUUAUCGGUGGCUGACGCAAAAGACUUAUUUUCAAGCAACUGUAGUAGAGCACUUGAUUUUAUGUUGUCCAGUGCCUAUUACCAUCAGAUUUUCAUUCCCAGCUUUCAUUAAAGCCGUGCUUCU
Molecule: long non-coding RNA, 649 nt
Organism: Xenopus laevis (African clawed frog)
Lineage: Eukaryota; Metazoa; Chordata; Amphibia; Anura; Pipidae
Exons: 3
Source: RefSeq, a predicted model, not a curated record